Molecule: small nuclear RNA, 179 nt
Filed under: Aureococcus anophagefferens
Lineage: Eukaryota; Pelagophyceae; Pelagomonadales; Pelagomonadaceae
Description: U1 spliceosomal RNA
Rfam family: U1 spliceosomal RNA
About the family: U1 is a small nuclear RNA (snRNA) component of the spliceosome (involved in pre-mRNA splicing). Its 5' end forms complementary base pairs with the 5' splice junction, thus defining the 5' donor site of an intron.
Source: Rfam by way of RNAcentral
AUACUUACCUGGUCGGGUCCCGAAAGUGAUCAUAAAGACUUUUGGGCACGGGGGGAGCUGGGUCAUUGCACACGGGGUCUUCGGACCUGACGACCUAUGAACCCCGUAUAUUUAGCUCCUGAAGCUGGAUAUACGACACAAUUUUUCGACGCCGGGAAUAAGCGCUUGCGCUCUCCUGG